RNAcentral lists this ribosomal RNA (512 nucleotides) under bacterium enrichment culture clone ALO1_GLFRUDD03F2MW2. RNAcentral describes it as "bacterial SSU rRNA". It matches the Rfam family "Bacterial small subunit ribosomal RNA", at positions 9 to 516 of the family's 1533-position model. RNAcentral also lists the same sequence under 2 other names. The record is from RNAcentral.
GAGUUUGAUCCUGGCUCAGAUUGAACGCUGGCGGCAGGCCUAACACAUGCAAGUCGAGCGGAUGACGGGAGCUUGCUCCUUGAUUCAGCGGCGGACGGGUGAGUAAUGCCUAGGAAUCUGCCUGGUAGUGGGGGACAACGUUUCGAAAGGAACGCUAAUACCGCAUACGUCCUACGGGAGAAAGCAGGGGACCUUCGGGCCUUGCGCUAUCAGAUGAGCCUAGGUCGGAUUAGCUAGUUGGUGGGGUAAUGGCUCACCAAGGCGACGAUCCGUAACUGGUCUGAGAGGAUGAUCAGUCACACUGGAACUGAGACACGGUCCAGACUCCUACGGGAGGCAGCAGUGGGGAAUAUUGGACAAUGGGCGAAAGCCUGAUCCAGCCAUGCCGCGUGUGUGAAGAAGGUCUUCGGAUUGUAAAGCACUUUAAGUUGGGAGGAAGGGCAGUAAGUUAAUACCUUGCUGUUUUGACGUUACCGACAGAAUAAGCACCGGCUAACUCUGUGCCAGCAGCC